UCGGUAGUAUCGCUUUGUAAAGUGAUUGUGGUGUUGUGAUCUGUGUGAUUUUAAUGUAAAAGAUAAAGCGAAUAUCAGUAUUUGUACAAUGAUUUUAUCAUCAUAACUACAUUAUUUAAACUUACUUUGUUUACGAACUUUUAAAGAUUUUAUUUAAAUUUUCUAUGCGAAAUGCACGACAUGUUAAAUGUGAUUUUUAAUGUUAGUUUUAUCAUGUUGCAACUUGUAAUUGAGAGUCGUACUCGUAGUUCAAAUUUGUACUACUAGUAGUACUAUAUAAACUUGUGUAGUAAAGCGGCCGUAAGAGUUCAAAUAUAAAUAUAUAUCGUACUUAGAGUUAAGUUAUACACGGAUGAAACACGUAUAUCAAAAUUUCAUAGUAUAGAGAAACAGGUUACAACAAAGACAAAAAUUUAGUUAUAUUUUAAGAAAGAAAUGUUUGCUGUUUGUUAAAUAUUGGAAAACAAUUAUGGAGUUGUUGCAAUUUGAAAAUGAGUUGAUAUUGAAACUAGAAGAAGAAGAUGGAUUAGUUAUUACAGCAAAAGGUCUUGGUAUUGAACGUGUGCUGCUUAAUUUAAUUAAAGUACACAGCCAUCCUGAAAACUUGAUUCUGAUUCUAGGGACUUCUGCACAUGAAGAGGUGAGAACAC
Long non-coding RNA from Limulus polyphemus (Atlantic horseshoe crab), 650 nucleotides. RefSeq lists it as uncharacterized. The transcript is spliced from 3 exons. The record is from RefSeq and is a predicted model, not a curated record. NCBI's taxonomy places the organism in Eukaryota, Metazoa, Arthropoda, Merostomata, Xiphosura, Limulidae.